UAUUGGACAAUGGGCGAAAGCCUGAUCCAGCAAUGCCGCGUGAGUGAUGAAGGCCCUAGGGUNGUAAAGCUCUUUUACCCGGGAANNUCNNNANUGUACCGGGAGAAUAAGCCCCGGCUAACUCCGUGCCNNNANACGCGGUAAUACGGAGGGGGCUAGCGUUGUUCGGAAUUACUGGGCGUAAAGCGCACGUAGGCGGCUUUGUAAGUCAGAGGUGAAAGCCUGGAGCUCAACUCCAGAACUGCCUUUGAGACUGCAUCGCUUGAAUCCAGGAGAGGUCAGUGGAAUUCCGAGCGUAGAGGUGAAAUUCGUAGAUAUUCGGAAGAACACCAGUGGCGAAGGCGGCUGACUGGACUGGUAUUGACGCUGAGGUGCGAAAGCGUGGGGAGCAAACAGG
This 397-nucleotide ribosomal RNA is filed under the name uncultured bacterium. RNAcentral's name for it is "partial 16S ribosomal RNA". It matches the Rfam family "Bacterial small subunit ribosomal RNA", at positions 362 to 776 of the family's 1533-position model. The record is from RNAcentral.